Calidris pugnax (ruff) is the source of this 3553-nucleotide long non-coding RNA. RefSeq lists it as uncharacterized. NCBI's taxonomy places the organism in Eukaryota, Metazoa, Chordata, Aves, Charadriiformes, Scolopacidae. The transcript has 5 exons. The record is from RefSeq and is a predicted model, not a curated record.
UGGAAAAAGCUUUCUCCCUCCAUGCAUACAUAACAUGAAAUAUAUGAUUUAGGCAAUUGAAUGUAGCAUAGAAAUAAAAAUAAUUGAAGACGCAUGUUUUUUGACAGCUUGGAUUGAACCAGUACAACUAUCUUCUGUGAUAACUGCAAAAUCACGUUUUUCCCUACAGUGUCCCUUCACUUCCCAGUGAUCUGAAGUAUAUCUCAGAAGCACAGGUCAGAGCUGCAUUUGGCUCAUUGGCCUCCGCUUGUGACAAAAUCCUUGGAAACGCUUGACAGAGAGCUCUGUCAAGCGUUGUCCUUCCCUACGCAGGAAAAGAGCUUCUUUUGUGAAUAGUUGUGAAUUCAUUAAUGCCAGGUUUCUACCACUAAAACUCGGUUGUUAAGGUCCAUGGGAAAAGUGAAGACAAAGGUGAGGAAGCUUCUGAUGGGAGUCCAGUAUUAUAUAUUAAGUUAUGAUCCAGAUCCCUCUCUGAUUUGAUACUGAACACAGCAGUUAAUUUAUUCACAAGUGAUUGGUGAAGAUUCCCCUCUCUGGCCCUGAACUACCAGUGGCAAAACACAAUAGUUUUCCCAGUAAGCCCUAUCUAAGCUAGAAAUAAAAAUGACACCAGUGAAAGGUGUGUGGCUCAACACAGAGCAAAUUAAAAGGUUGCUAUAAGUUUUGUUUGCAUCAGGCCACUCCAAAAUCAUCUGCCUAUAAUGUAGCAAUGUUCUAGGAAGAGCCUAUACAGCCGCUGUUGAACGGAGAAGAACUACAUUUUCACACAGCUGUAAUGAACAGGUUAGAAAACUUAAUUAUAUGCAUUUGAUUCCUUCUUUCCAUGUGACUUUUUUUCUCAGAUCAGUUUGAAAAUAGUACAGAAAAUCUUCUGUCUGUCAUUCCAAAAUUGGGUUUCAAACCAUGCGUCAGCAGGAAAGCUGUAGUUCUCAUAUUUUCAGGAGUAUGUCCUCCCUGCCUUUACAACACAGGUGACAAAAAAGCUUAAAACCUCAACUAUUUUUGUUCUGAAUCAUUAGAGUAUGCCAAAUAAUCUGUGAUGUAACAAUUACUAUAGCAACUAUUCACUUUGGCUCAAAAACUGAAGUAAACAGUUGACACAUCAUAUUUCACAUGCUAGGCAAGGCAAUUUUAGCAUAAUGUAGAAAUAUUAAUACAUUCUAUGGAAACUGAGCAAUAUUCAAUCAGGUACAUGUGACAGACUACUGUAGGCUGAGAAUAAUUUUGAUAACAGGAUAUUUAAAGUAUAUUAGUUAGCCUCUGUUUAACUGUAAUUAAAUACUAUACAUAAUUAAGCUGAAUUAAUCUAAUUAGACUUCCAACUGACAAGGGUUUCCAGUUGGCUGAAGUUUUGCAGGGCCCAUUUUGUACAUGCCAGUAAACAUUAACCUUUUCUUUGAGCAGUUGACCCUUAAAAAGAUGCCCCACUAAGAGACCGUAUCAUAUACAGUAUAGUCUAACCAUAAUCCUGACUGCUGAAAGGUCAAGAAUUUCCAUCAUCUUUCAAUGUAACUAAUAUCUUAGGGAGAAUUUUCUGUGUUUCUCAAGCAAAACCAUGUUUGGUGAGCUUCCUCUUCUUUGUUUCUAUUUUCUGAAUCUUGAAUUAUUAAUUGCAUAUAUGGUAAAGCUGAAGGAGGUCCAAGAAGAUAUUCUGCACUUCAGACAGGAUUUAAAUUUUUCCAUACAGAAUGGUAUUCUCAAACUGAGCCAAAUUCUGUGCUAUUCAGUGGGAAUAUUGUUCAGUUGUGAACAGCAGAAUUUGCCCAUGUAUAUAUACAGAUCUGUAUAAUAUAUACACACAACUAUUUAUAUACAUACAUCUAUAUGUAUGUAUGUUUAUGUAUACAGUCUAUAUCUAUAUUCUAAAAGUCUGUAUGAAAGACUAUUCUAAGCAGCUGUUUAGAAAUUGAAAUGACCAGUUAUUUUGUUUACCAUCAGGCCACUCAACAUUCUCCCGUAAGUAGAAAUUUUUAUCGUUUUCUAUGGUUAAGCUCUCAAACUUCAUUUUAGGUCAAAUAAAGCCUGUGUUUCUUGGUGGAAAAGGCACAUCAAUGGAACCAGGGGCACUAUGAAGCACUGUUCUCAAGGCACAACAUUAAUAGCUUUAAUUAAUUGCAUGAAAGGGUAGACUGUCUAAGCAGAGGUUUCAGGAAUUUAUGUAUCUCAAGCACAAAAACGUAUCCAGGUAAGGAAAUACGAUAUGUGUGGCAUGCUGGGCACUGAGCUGGGUGCCAGACGCAGGAGUGUCUUGCUGGCUCUGUUUCUGUUUUUUUUUUAUCUGAGACAAGUCAUCUUGCUCUUCCAUACCUUGAUUUCCUAAUUAAUUUUUAAUCUUCCAUGUUUAAUUAGGAUGUCUUUCUUUCAGGGUAAAGAUUGUAUUUAAUCAUGUGUUUGAACACUGUGCAGGACUUAGAUCCCAAGUGAAACAUGAGUGUUCUUGCAUUUCCUUAACAAAUGGCCCAAGAAAAUUGCCUUCCAAACAUGCAAUAACUAUGAGGUGGUGAUCUGCUUGGCAAUCAGGCGCAUGGAACGUGUUCAAAAGCCCUUAACAGGAAUCAAGUGCUAAUUAAAAGGAAAAGAGGAAAGCAAUGAAUGCUGCAAUGAUUUUACCCAUAGACUUGAGAAAGCACAAAUGAAGAUUCAUUGAAACUGUAUUUUUCUGGGCUACUACAAGCAGAAAAAGAGAGAAAAUAUUUAACCAUCUUCUCAGACAUCUGCAGUUGGUUUCAGUUGGCGAAUGAUAGCUUUGGUUGCAACUUGGCCUAAAUGGAAGACUUCAGACAUGAAGCCCUGGAGUUCUCUUCAAUGACAAAGGAGAACUUGAUCAUGAUCAAGGGACUGAAAAAACCCAGAAUGACUGAUGUGCUGCUAGAAGAUUUCAAGAAAAACAGCCACAUGCUUCAGUAAGGCGCCAGUGUGUGCUAAAAUGGAGUGACUUGAAAAAGGGUUAAUAAUCUGCUUUAAACUAUUUUUACUGUUUUUAAUGUAUGAACACCUAAUAACCAAGAUGAGAUCAGGCCUCAUUGCACAGAGUGCUAUAGAAAGGCUUCCAGCAUAUUGCAAGUUAAACAAACAAACAAAAAGAUCAAAGGAAAAACAGAGCUGCAGCAAUGUGAAGUGAGUUGCUCAAGGUCACUCAACAGGUUAGUAGCAGGACUGGAAAUUGAGGACUGGAGGCCCCCUAGAAUGCUUUAUCUGCAAAACAUCCUCAAUUCCAACUAUCAUACAAGCCUCUUAAAUCAGGGCUUCAUGCUCAUCAUCCCCAAGGUGAUAAAGUGAUAAGUCUUCCUUUAAAAACUAGAAAUACUUGAUCCUUUCAUGGAGAGCAGCAAGGCUUUUGAGAGUGUAAUAUUUCAAUGCAAAUAGGCUGUAGCUAUAAGAAUGUAAGAGACAGAUUCCUCACAGUAAGCAACAAUAGGUCAGCACACUGUGCAAUGGGAUAGGAUUAUAAUUUCCUGUGUACACACAAAAAAACUAAUACAGAUGUGACUCCUUUUACCAUGAUCAGGCCCAGACUAUAACAGAUCCUGUUUGUCUGCUCUUGCUUAGGCUC